Geosiphon pyriformis is the source of this 88-nucleotide non-coding RNA. The record is from the annotation of a GenBank genome assembly. Lineage: Eukaryota; Fungi; Glomeromycota; Glomeromycetes; Archaeosporales; Geosiphonaceae.
GCCCCUGUGGUGUAGUCGUUGCAUAUCAGAAUUUAUGCGGCUUUCACCAUCAUUCCUGAAGGACCUGGUUCAAUUCCAGGCGGGGGCU